Molecule: ribosomal RNA, 429 nt
Filed under: Acidobacteriota bacterium
Lineage: Bacteria; Pseudomonadati; Acidobacteriota
Description: Acidobacteria bacterium partial 16S ribosomal RNA
Rfam family: Bacterial small subunit ribosomal RNA
Source: RNAcentral
UGGGGAAUUUUGGACAAUGGGGGAAACCCUGAUCCAGCCAUCCCGCGUGUGCGAUGAAGGCCUUCGGGUUGUAAAGCACUUUUGGCAGGAAAGAAACGUCAUGGGUUAAUACCCCGUGAAACUGACGGUACCUGCAGAAUAAGCACCGGCUAACUACGUGCCAGCAGCCGCGGUAAUACGUAGGGUGCAAGCGUUAAUCGGAAUUACUGGGCGUAAAGCGUGCGCAGGCGGUUCGGAUAGAAAGAUGUGAAAUCCCAGAGCUCAACUUUGGAACUGCAUUUUUAACUACCGGGCUAGAGUGUGUCAGAGGGAGGUGGAAUUCCGCGUGUAGCAGUGAAAUGCGUAGAUAUGCGGAGGAACACCGAUGGCGAAGGCAGCCUCCUGGGAUAACACUGACGCUCAUGCACGAAAGCGUGGGGAGCAAACAGG